Molecule: long non-coding RNA, 682 nt
Organism: Myotis lucifugus (little brown bat)
Lineage: Eukaryota; Metazoa; Chordata; Mammalia; Chiroptera; Vespertilionidae
Exons: 2
Source: RefSeq, a predicted model, not a curated record
UCCAAACGUCAGGCGCAGGGCGGGGAGUGGCGGCCCGGUCCGAGAGGGACACCCUUUGGUCGGAUCUGGCAAGGGCAGCGCUUUGGCCCAGGGCGCGGUGGGGCGUAGAAAAGGAAAGCGAACUCCCCCGGGGCAAGGCAAGGGCGCGGGGCAAUGCUCUCUCUGCGGGAUUCCGUCUUCCUUGCAGAUUCCGCCUCUUUCCCGCAGCCGUCAGCGCACCCCCUGUCAGCUAACAUGUGGGGGGCUGUGAAAGCGCCUGACUCGGGACUUUCCAGCCUGUCAGUGAAGAGAAACCCAUGCCAACAGGAAGGAGUUCGCCUUUGCUGGGGAAUGCAGGCAGGUUCUGGCCCCGCCAGAGAGAUUGCAGUAUUUAUUUUCUGCUUUGACCAGGGCCUGGUGAUAGACACAGAGGGACUUGAACCACCAACUCAGUUUAGGAGGAAGCCAAGAUUGAAGGUUUCCUCUCCCAGCAUGUAAAUUCCCCAUAUUCUUUAAUAUACAACUUUCCUUUAAUAAAACAAAACAAAAUCCCCCAGCAACUUAUUUUUGACAUAGCUGCCAUUCUUUUCUUGGAUUCAAUACAGCAAGUUUUGGCUGAGGCAGCUAGGAACUUAAUUAGCAACUAAUGUACCAACUUGUAGUAAACAUCAACAUUUGUCUAUGUCAUGAAGGAAAAAAAAAA